UUCCAUUCAUUGAAUAAGGAACAAACAAAUUUUGUGUGUAUAAAUGUAUUUCCCACAAAUACAUAAUCAAUAACAAGAGAAAAGAAAAAACGAAAAAGACAGAGGAAAACGAAACUAGUGCCCAGCCCCCUUCCUGCUAGGCCCAGAAGCCAGUCUAUGCGAUAACAUACCAAUCCUCACACCCAUAUGUGAUUGUCGAACAUCAGGGGUCUCAAAAACUCUGCCUCUCUCAUUAGAUAAAACCAACUCGGUGUCGCCUAGAAACGGCCUGCCAGAUAAACCCAACUCGGCAUCGCCUAGAAAGGGCCUGCCUGCAAAUACAGAAGAAGGCUGGAAAAGCAAAACAAGUAUCACAGCCACAAAAAGAACCAAAAUCAAGUCUUUCUUCAUUCUAAUACUUGGAGAGAGCAAUUCACAAGUCCUGAGUUAGUUUUCAAAAGGAGAGUUGAGUUGAUAAGAUGCAUUGUGUGGUUUUGGAGUCUGAGUAUUUAUAAGUGUUGAGAAAGGGGGGAAGGUGAGUGUUUGGAAAGUGGGGGGUGAGGUUGGGCAUGGAAUGGCACAAG
This 563-nucleotide long non-coding RNA is filed under the name Amborella trichopoda. Its description in RNAcentral is "long non-coding RNA (ATRI_LNC003742)". Lineage: Eukaryota; Viridiplantae; Streptophyta; Magnoliopsida; Amborellales; Amborellaceae. The record is from RNAcentral.